GCACUGCUGAGGAGUCCCACAAUAGGACAAAACGGCCUUGCAGUGC
This 46-nucleotide non-coding RNA is filed under the name Schistosoma mansoni. The record is from RNAcentral. Lineage: Eukaryota; Metazoa; Platyhelminthes; Trematoda; Strigeidida; Schistosomatidae.